CAGGAAUAGAAGGGUGUAUGGUGGAUGCCUUGGAUUCAAAGAGCGAUGAAGGACGUGUAAUGGCUGCGAUAAGCUUCGGGGAGACGCCAAUGAGUCUGCGAUCCGGAGAUUUCCGAAUGAGGAAACUCUACGUGUUACGCACGUAACCUGUGUAUGCAGGAGCAAACCUUCUGAAUUGAAACAUCUUAGUAAGAAGAGGAAAAGAAAGCAAUAAACGGAAGUUUCUUUCUGGGCGGUUAACGCCUUGAGAGCAAUCUUGUGGCGUACCAUUACGCACAGGAAGAAGCUUCUUGCGAUACCCUAAGUAGCGGCGAGCGAAAAGGGCAGAGCCCAAACCAUACAUGUUUACAUGUACGGGGUUGUAGGGCGAGGUCUGCAUUUAGUUGCGGAGAGUCAAAAAUGUGUAUUAUAGAAGAAUCAUCUGGAAAGAUGAACCCUAGCAGGUAAUAGUCCUGUAUUCGAAAUCUUACACACUCUCUUGGCCUCGUUCCUGAGUAGGGCGGGACACGAAUAGCCCGUCUGAAUCUACCAGAACUAACUGGUAAGGCUAAAUAUCUUUGAAUACCGAUAGUGAACUAGUACCGUGAGGGAAAGGUGAAAAGUAGUCCGGGAGGACAGUGAAAUAGACCUGAAACCAUACAUCUACAAGGAGUUGAAGACCUGAGGGUCGACAGCGUGCCUAUUGAAGAAUGAGCCGGCGAGUGUACCUAUAUUGUUUGUCUAAGUGGCAAUCCCACGGAGGCGUAGUGAAAGCAAGCGUGAAUAGCGCGACCAAUUGACAGUAUAGGUACAACCCGAAACGUGAUGAGCUUACCAUGAGCAGGCUGAAGCGACUGUAAAAGGUCGUGGAGGGCCGAACCCGUAAGUGAUACAAAACUUUGGGAUGACUUGUGGUAAGGAGUGAAAAGCUAAUCGAAUUACGUAAUAGCUGGUUCUCUCCGAAACAGCUUUUGGGUUGGCGUCGCGUGUUCCCACUGGGGGUAGAGCUACUGGUAAGAGUGAACAGGGAGAAAUCUCGUCACUUUUGUCAACCUCCGAAUACCAGAUGGUUAAGAACGCGGCAGUUAGACUACGGGGGCGAAGCUCCGUUAGUCAAGAGGGAAACAGCCCAGAUCGCCGAUUAAGGUCCCUAAAUCCAUGCUCAGUGCAACUUGAGGAUGUGAGGAUUCUCAAACAACCAGGAGGUUGGCUUAGAAGCAGCCAUCCUUUAAAGAAAGCGUAACAGCUCACUGGUCGAGAGUCCUUGCGCCGAAAAUGAUCGGGGCUUAAGCAUGGUACCGAAGUCGCGAAUGCAUACAUUAGUAUGCGUGGUAGGAGAGCGUUCGUAGCCGCAUUGAAGCCAAGGGGUGACCCACGGUGGAGUGCUACGAAGUGAGAAUGCCGGCACAAGUAACCGCAAGGAGGGUGAGACCCCCUCCCGUCGAAAUACCAAGGUUUCCAGGGCAAUGGUGAUCAUCCCUGGGUUAGUCGGUCCUAAGCCAAUCCCGAACGGGGGAGGCGAUGGAGAGCAGGUUAAUAUUCCUGCACAUCAAUGUAGUCCUAUGGAGGGACGGAGUGCUGUACUCACAGCUGGUUAUUGGAUUCCAGUUGGAGCUCUGAGGAGGUGUGGUAGGUAAAUCCGCCACACAUUACUCCAAGGAGGGUCGCAAGAUGAGUCUACGGACAAGUCAAGUGUGAGGAGCGCGCUUCCAAGAAAAACUUCGUUUGGGUUAACUACAUGGAUACCGUACCGCAAACCGACACAGGUGGUAGAGUCGAGAAGACUAAGACGAACGAGUGAUAUGCCCUUAAGGAACUCGGCAAACAAGCGACCGUAACUUCGGGAUAAGGUCUGCCCCUUGAAAUAGAGGGGCCGCAGCGAAAGAUUUCCUAGCGACUGUUUAUCAAAAACACAGCUUUCUGCGAAGACGUAAGUCAAUGUAUAGAAGGUGACGCCUGACCGAUGCGGGAAGGUUAAAUAGGGAUGGUCCAUGGUCGUAAGAUUGUGGGCUGGGCUCUAUAAGCCCCCGUCAAUGUCAGCGAUAACUAUAAUCGUUCUAAGGUUCUCUGCAUGUGUAGCAAUACAUGUGCAGAGAAGGAUUGGAACGAUUAUAGGAUAAACAGCCGAGUCAUAGUUACCUCACCUUUAGAAAUAAGGAGUGAUCCACAUGCAACCAACAAGAGACCAAAUGUUGCACAUCUGACCAUUCAGUUGAAGAUGAAGAUAGAGUCCUAUAGUGAAAUGUCUCUGCUUUCGGGCAGAGGAGAAGGAAAAAUAGAGCGAAUUUCCUUGUCGGGUAAGUUCCGACGUGCACGAAUGGCGUAACGACUGGGAAACUGUCUCAAGGGCAUGCUCGGUGAAAAUACAAUCCCUGUGAAGAUGCAGGGUACCUGCAGUUAGACGAAAAGACCCCGAGAGCUUUACUGUAGCUUCGUAUUGAGGCUAUUGAUGUGAUGCGUAGCAUAGGUGGGAGACUUUGAAGCAUCCUUUUCGGAGGAUGUGGAGUCGAAAUAUGAAAUACCACUCUUCACUUUGGUAGUCUCUAACCUGGUAGAAAAAAUCUAUCAGAGACAGUGCGUGGCAGGCAGUUUUAGUGGGGCGCUACCCUCCCAAAUUGUAACGGAGGGGUCUCAAGGUUGGCUAGGCGCGAAUGGAAACCGUGCUGAUAGUGUAAUGGCACAAGCCAGCUUGACUGUGACGGGUAAGACCGAAACAGACACGAAAGUGGAGCAUAGUGAACCGACGGUCCGCGUUAGAUGCGGCCGGAGAUUAUCUGAUAAAAGUUACCUCGGGGAUAACAGGCUAGUUGCGCCUAAGCGUCCAUAGCGACGGCGCAGUUCGGCACCUCGAUGUCGGCUCAUCUUAUCCUGGGGCUGGAGCAGGUCCCAAGGGUAUGGCUGUUCGCCAUUUAAAAAGAUACGCGAGCUGGGUUUAGACCGUCGUGAGACAGGUUGGUCCCUAUCUACUGCAGGCGUUGAAUAUUGAGGAGAUUUGUCCCUAGUACGAGAGGACCGGGAUGAACGAACCUCUGGUCUAUCAGCUGUCACGCCCGUGGCAACGCUGAGUAGCUAUGUUCGGAAUGAAUAACCGCUGAAAGCAUCUAAGUGGGAAGUCAACUCCAAGAUUAGUAUUCGUUAAGUCCCCUAAGAGAUUAUUAGGUUGAUAGGCAUUAGAUGUACGCACAGUAAUGUGUUUAGUCGAGAUGUACUAAUCGGACGU
Molecule: ribosomal RNA, 3199 nt
Filed under: Candidatus Kaiserbacteria bacterium RIFCSPLOWO2_12_FULL_50_10
Lineage: Bacteria; Candidatus Kaiseribacteriota
Description: bacterial LSU rRNA
Rfam family: Bacterial large subunit ribosomal RNA
Source: RNAcentral